AGAGUUUGAUCCUGGCUCAGAAUGAACGUUGGCGGCGUGGAUUAGGCAUGCAAGUCGUACGGGCCGCAAGGCCAGUGGCGCAAGGGUGAGUAAGGCGACGGCAACCAACCCCGUGAUUGGGUAUAGCCGCGGGAAACUGCGGGUAAUCCCCAGCGACGUCUCGAGGAGGCAUCUCCUUGAGACCAAAGCUCCGGCGUCGU
Molecule: ribosomal RNA, 200 nt
Filed under: uncultured bacterium
Lineage: Bacteria
Description: partial 16S ribosomal RNA
Rfam family: Bacterial small subunit ribosomal RNA
Source: RNAcentral